Molecule: non-coding RNA, 393 nt
Filed under: Gossypium hirsutum (cotton)
Lineage: Eukaryota; Viridiplantae; Streptophyta; Magnoliopsida; Malvales; Malvaceae
Description: Bacterial large subunit ribosomal RNA
Rfam family: Bacterial large subunit ribosomal RNA
Source: Rfam by way of RNAcentral
UGAGUAACGCAAACAUUGGUGAGAAUCCAAUGCCCCGAAAACCCAAGGGUUCCUUCGCAAGGUUCAUCCACGGAGGGUGAGUCAGGGCCUAAGAUCAGGCCGAAAGGUGUAGUCGAUGGACAACAGGUGAAUAUUCAUGUACUACCCCUUGUAGAAUUUUGAGAACACACAUAGAAAUUCUACAAAAUUUUAUUUUGCUCUCGAAAAUUCUUCUCUUUUUCUCUCCAUAUUUUCAUACGUUUUCGUGAUAGACGAAGGCAAGGUCUAUUCGUUGAUCACUACAGUGGUGCUACUGCUUCGAUCAUCUUGUUGUUGUAUCCUGGGAGACAGUCGACAAAUGUUCCUCCAAGUACCAUAGAAGCGGCCAAAUCUGUCUUAAGGAAACUGUGAAAA